CCCCUCUCUCUCCCACCCUGUGGUCAGAAAUGCUGCUCUGCAAGAGAGCAAUAAAUUUGCAAGUAAACAGGCAUUUACAAUCUACUUCAGUGUUUAUAUACUAAAACUUGUCUUUCUGCCUUAGCUUUCUCAGUAGUUGGUCCUUGCUAAACUGGCUCUUUAAUUUUGAGGCAAUGUUUGCACUGUCUUGAAGAAGAGCCACGUUCACAGCCGAAUGGGUCUUCUGCAAGUGAAUGAAUUCAAUGAAUUAUUUACUGAAACUCUUGGGAUGUAACUGCUGUCCUGUCAAUAACUUUAGCUUUUGAAUGAAUUAUGGGGUCUAGGAAACUGGCCCCAAGGAAUUUCUUAGGGGAGCAGGAAAGGAAUAUAUUUUACACCAGCCUUGAGAUAUCCACUGUCCUAAAGUUGGAGGCUAUCAUUCCUAAGCGAUGAGCAAGCACCUAGUGAAGCUGCAAAUGCGCGAUCUCCAUGACUUUGUGAUUUGCCUUCUAGGUAUCUAUUUUAAAGGAACUCUCACACAUGUGCACGAGAGACAUUUUUAAGAAACUUAAUCACAGCAUUGUUCAUCGCCGUGAAAAAAUGUGACUAACAUAAUAGCCCUCAGUAGAGGGAUGAAUAAAGAAACCCUGGUUUAGUCAUACAAUGCAACCCUAUUUGUCAGCUGAAAAAAUGCCUUGGAGCUUAUGAACUGCAGAAGAUGAGGCAAGUUUGAACAUGUUUAAAUGCUGCUGGGAAGGAUGCAAUACGGAGCCAGAGGCUGAAGAUAUAGGAAAAACAAGACAACCAGUGGAUGAACUCCCCCUACAAUUUUUGAAGCUGCUGUGUUCUUCUUUCCAGAGAUUUCUCUUAUCGCCAGUUUCUUGCAUGUCUCUAGAGGUAUCUACAGAAUUCAGGUACAGAGAGGGAGACACCUUUACAGAUGGAGAUUUCCUUUACAAAUGUAAAUGUCUCUUAAAAAGGGUCUGUGUCCUAUUCUCCUCUUCUUAUAAGGACACCAGUCAUAUUGGAUUCGGACACACCCAUAAGACCUCAUUUUACCUUAAUUAUCUCCUUAAAGAGUCUGUCUCCAAACACAGUCACAUGCUGAGGUACUGGAGAAAGGACAUCAACAUAGGAAUUUUGGAGGGACACAAUUCAGCCCAUAAUGCCAUCUUAUAAUAAAUAAUGCUUUCCUAAAGGAAUAACCUACAUUAUACUCAAUUGUGAAAUACCGUUUCUUUUACAAUAUAAAAUAAAAGAAAAAACUUUAUUUUUUAUUUCAAAAAAUGUCUUUUGUUUUUAACUUUUCUGGAACUUCUAGACAAAACAAUUUGACAUAAAACAACAACGGAAAGAAGUGCAGCAAAAGGGAGAAAACAAAAUUAUUAUCUGUAGAUGGUAUGACUAUCCAAUUAGAACCACAUCCCAUCCCAAAAUGGCUGAAAAUGUCUUCCAAUAUUGAGGUAUUCUUUAAGAUCUUGGAUAAAAAU
RNAcentral lists this long non-coding RNA (1469 nucleotides) under Equus caballus (horse). Its description in RNAcentral is "lncRNA (ENSECAG00000060226.1)". Lineage: Eukaryota; Metazoa; Chordata; Mammalia; Perissodactyla; Equidae. The record is from RNAcentral.